CAGUAGCCGCGGGAAUACGAAGGGUGCAAGCGUUAAUCGGAAUUACUGGGCGUAAAGCGUGCGUAGGCGGUUUGUUAAGUCUGUUGUGAAAUCCCCGGGCUCAACCUGGGAAUGGCAAUGGAUACUGGCAAGCUAGAGUGUGUCAGAGGAUGGUGGAAUUCCCGGUGUAGCGGUGAAAUGCGUAGAGAUCGGGAGGAACAUCAGUGGCGAAGGCGGCCAUCUGGGACAACACUGACGCUGAGGCACGAAAGCGUGGGGGGCAAGCAGGAUUAGAUACCCCCGUAGUCCCUGUCUCUUAUAC
RNAcentral lists this ribosomal RNA (301 nucleotides) under uncultured bacterium. Its description in RNAcentral is "partial 16S ribosomal RNA". It matches the Rfam family "Bacterial small subunit ribosomal RNA", at positions 509 to 807 of the family's 1533-position model. The record is from RNAcentral.